RNAcentral lists this ribosomal RNA (497 nucleotides) under uncultured bacterium. RNAcentral's name for it is "partial 16S ribosomal RNA". It matches the Rfam family "Bacterial small subunit ribosomal RNA", at positions 28 to 507 of the family's 1533-position model. The record is from RNAcentral.
GACGAACGCUGGCGGCGUGCCUAAUACAUGCAAGUUGAGCGAUGAAGAUUGGUGCUUGCACCAAUUUGAAGAGCAGCGAGCGGGUGAGUAACGCGUGGGGAAUCUGCCUUUGAGCGGGGGACAACAUUUGGAAACGAAUGCUAAUACCGCAUAACAACUUUAAACAUAAGUUUUAAGUUUGAAAGAUGCAAUUGCAUCACUCAAAGAUGAUCCCGCGUUGUAUUAGCUAGUUGGUGAGGUAAAGGCUCACCAAGGCGAUGUUACAUAGCCGACCUGAGAGGGUGAUCGGCCACAUUGGGACUGAGACACGGCCCAAACUCCUACGGGAGGCAGCAGUAGGGAAUCUUCGGCAAUGGACGAAAGUCUGACCGAGCAACGCCGCGUGAGUGAAGAAGGGUGUCGGAUCGUAAAACUCUGUUGGUAGAGAAGAACGUUGGUGAGAGUGGAAAGCUCAUCAAGUGACGGUAACUACCCAGAAAGGGACGGCUAACUACGUG